RNAcentral lists this ribosomal RNA (2283 nucleotides) under Vibrio vulnificus. RNAcentral's name for it is "partial 23S ribosomal RNA". It matches the Rfam family "Bacterial large subunit ribosomal RNA", at positions 681 to 2925 of the family's 2925-position model. The record is from RNAcentral. Lineage: Bacteria; Pseudomonadati; Pseudomonadota; Gammaproteobacteria; Vibrionales; Vibrionaceae.
GUCUUAACUGGGCGCCAUAGUCUCUGGAUAUAGACCCGAAACCGAGUGAUCUAGCCAUGGGCAGGUUGAAGGUUGAGUAACAUCAACUGGAGGACCGAACCGACUAAUGUUGAAAAAUUAGCGGAUGACUUGUGGCUAGGGGUGAAAGGCCAAUCAAACUCGGAGAUAGCUGGUUCUCCCCGAAAGCUAUUUAGGUAGCGCCUCGGACGAAUACUACUGGGGGUAGAGCACUGUUAAGGCUAGGGGGUCAUCCCGACUUACCAACCCUUUGCAAACUCCGAAUACCAGUAAGUACUAUCCGGGAGACACACGGCGGGUGCUAACGUCCGUCGUGGAGAGGGAAACAACCCAGACCGCCAGCUAAGGUCCCAAAUUACAGCUAAGUGGGAAACGAUGUGGGAAGGCUUAGACAGCUAGGAUGUUGGCUUAGAAGCAGCCAUCAUUUAAAGAAAGCGUAAUAGCUCACUAGUCGAGUCGGCCUGCGCGGAAGAUGUAACGGGGCUAAGUUGUAAACCGAAGCUGCGGCAAUGUUCUUUGAACAUUGGGUAGGGGAGCGUUCUGUAAGCCGUUGAAGGUGUGUUGUAAAGCAUGCUGGAGGUAUCAGAAGUGCGAAUGCUGACAUGAGUAACGACAAGGGGGGUGAAAAACCUCCCCGCCGGAAGACCAAGGGUUCCUGUCCAACGUUAAUCGGGGCAGGGUAAGUCGACCCCUAAGGCGAGGCCGAAAGGCGUAGUCGAUGGGAAACGGGUUAAUAUUCCCGUACUUCUUACAAUUGCGAUGGGGGGACGGAGAAGGCUAGGUGGGCCUGGCGACGGUUGUCCAGGUUCAAGUGCGUAGGCUGAGUGUUUAGGUAAAUCCGGACACUCUUAAGGCUGAGACACGACGUCGAGCUACUACGGUAGUGAAGUCAUUGAUGCCAUGCUUCCAGGAAAAGCCUCUAAGCUUCAGAUUGUAAGGAAUCGUACCCCAAACCGACACAGGUGGUCGGGUAGAGAAUACCAAGGCGCUUGAGAGAACUCGGGUGAAGGAACUAGGCAAAAUGGUACCGUAACUUCGGGAGAAGGUACGCUCUUGAUGGUGAAGUCCCUUGCGGAUGGAGCUGACGAGAGUCGCAGAUACCAGGUGGCUGCAACUGUUUAUUAAAAACACAGCACUGUGCAAAAUCGUAAGAUGACGUAUACGGUGUGACGCCUGCCCGGUGCCGGAAGGUUAAUUGAUGGGGUUAGCGUAAGCGAAGCUCUUGAUCGAAGCCCCGGUAAACGGCGGCCGUAACUAUAACGGUCCUAAGGUAGCGAAAUUCCUUGUCGGGUAAGUUCCGACCUGCACGAAUGGCGUAAUGAUGGCCACGCUGUCUCCACCCGAGACUCAGUGAAAUUGAAAUCGCUGUGAAGAUGCAGUGUACCCGCGGCUAGACGGAAAGACCCCGUGAACCUUUACUACAGCUUGGCACUGAACAUUGAACCUACAUGUGUAGGAUAGGUGGGAGGCUUUGAAGACGUGACGCCAGUUGCGUUGGAGCCGUCCUUGAAAUACCACCCUUGUAUGUUUGAUGUUCUAACGUUGGCCCCUAAUCGGGGUUGCGGACAGUGCCUGGUGGGUAGUUUGACUGGGGCGGUCUCCUCCCAAAGAGUAACGGAGGAGCACGAAGGUGGGCUAAUCACGGUUGGACAUCGUGAGGUUAGUGCAAUGGCAUAAGCCCGCUUAACUGCGAGAAUGACGGUUCGAGCAGGUGCGAAAGCAGGUCAUAGUGAUCCGGUGGUUCUGAAUGGAAGGGCCAUCGCUCAACGGAUAAAAGGUACUCCGGGGAUAACAGGCUGAUACCGCCCAAGAGUUCAUAUCGACGGCGGUGUUUGGCACCUCGAUGUCGGCUCAUCACAUCCUGGGGCUGAAGUCGGUCCCAAGGGUAUGGCUGUUCGCCAUUUAAAGUGGUACGCGAGCUGGGUUUAGAACGUCGUGAGACAGUUCGGUCCCUAUCUGCCGUGGGCGUUGGAAGAUUGAAGGGGGCUGCUCCUAGUACGAGAGGACCGGAGUGGACGAACCUCUGGUGUUCGGGUUGUGUCGCCAGACGCAUUGCCCGGUAGCUAAGUUCGGAAUCGAUAACCGCUGAAAGCAUCUAAGCGGGAAGCGAGCCCUGAGAUGAGUCUUCCCUGAUACUUUAAGUAUCCUGAAGGGUUGUUCGAGACUAGAACGUUGAUAGGCAGGGUGUGUAAGCGCUGUGAGGCGUUGAGCUAACCUGUACUAAUUGCCCGUGAGGCUUAACCAUACAACACCCAAAGGGUUUUG